UACGAGGGGGGCGAGCGUUGUUCGGAAUUACUGGGCGUAAAGGGCUCGUAGGUGGCCAACUAAGUCGGACGUGAAAUCCCUCAGCUUAACUGGGGAACUGCGUCCGAUACUGGAUGGCUUGAGUUUGGGAGAGGGAUGCGGAAUUCCAGGUGUAGCGGUGAAAUGCGCAGAUAUCAGGAGGAACACCAGUGGCGAAGGCGGUGCUCUGGGCCGGAACUGACGCUGAGGAGCGAAAGCGUGGGGAGCAAACAGG
This 253-nucleotide ribosomal RNA is filed under the name uncultured bacterium. Its description in RNAcentral is "partial 16S ribosomal RNA". It matches the Rfam family "Bacterial small subunit ribosomal RNA", at positions 524 to 776 of the family's 1533-position model. The record is from RNAcentral.